RNAcentral lists this ribosomal RNA (437 nucleotides) under uncultured Oscillospiraceae bacterium. RNAcentral describes it as "partial 16S ribosomal RNA". It matches the Rfam family "Bacterial small subunit ribosomal RNA", at positions 341 to 792 of the family's 1533-position model. Lineage: Bacteria; Bacillati; Bacillota; Clostridia; Eubacteriales; Oscillospiraceae. The record is from RNAcentral.
ACUGAAGGCAGCAGUGGGGAAUAUUGGGCAAUGGGCGAAAGCCUGACCCAGCAACGCCGCGUGAAGGAAGAAGGUCUUCGGAUUGUAAACUUCUUUUAUGAGGGACGCGGGAAGUGACGGUACCUCAUUCCUCCGCCACGGCUAACUACGUGCCAGCAGCCGCGGUAAUACGUAGGUGGCAAGCGUUAUCCGGAUUUACUGGGUGUAAAGGGCGCGUAGGCGGGGAUGCAAGUCAGAUGUGAAAUCCAUGGGCUCAACUCAUGAACUGCAUUUGAAACUGUAUCUCUUGAGUGCUGGAGAGGUAGAUGGAAUUCCUUGUGUAGCGGUGAAAUGCGUAGAUAUAAGGAAGAACACCAGUGGCGAAGGCGAUCUACUGGACAGUAACUGACGCUGAGGCGCGAAAGCGUGGGGAGCAAACAGGAUUAGAUACCCUGGUA